ACCUCUUUGGUGUAGCGAUAACAUAGCGGAUUCUCAAGUAUGAGUGCUUCCGUUGCCCGGGGUUCGACUCCCCGGAGAGGUA
Corynascus novoguineensis is the source of this 82-nucleotide non-coding RNA. Lineage: Eukaryota; Fungi; Ascomycota; Sordariomycetes; Sordariales; Chaetomiaceae. The record is from the annotation of a GenBank genome assembly.